UCGCCUGUUUAUCAAAAACAUCGCCUCUUGCUAACUAAGAAGUAUUAGAGGUCCCGCCUGCCCUGUGACACGCGUGUUUAACGGCCGCGGUAUUUUAACCGCGCGAAGGUAGCGUAAUCACUUGUCUUUUAAAUGGAGACCUGUAUGAAUGGCAUAACGAGGGUUUAACUGUCUCCUCUCCCCAGUCAAUGAAAUUGAUCCACCCGUGCAGAAGCGGGUAUAUUAACAUAAGACGAGAAGACCCUAUGGAGCUUUAGGCAAACAAUCAAGCGCGCCCAGCCCCUACUAACGAAGAGCAAGAAGGGAUAAAACAAGCGCCCCUGAAGGAGAUGCCUUCGGUUGGGGCGACCGUGGAGGAAAAUAAAGCCUCCAAGCAGAAUAGGGACCCACCCUAAGCCAAGAAACACAUUUCUAAGCAACAGAAAAGCUGACUGUAAGUGACCCAGGAAAUACCUGAUCAACGAACCAAGUUACCCUAGGGAUAACAGCGCAAUCCUUUCCCAGAGUCCAUAUCGACGAAAGGGCUUACGACCUCGAUGUUGGAUCAGGACAUCCUAAUGGUGCAGCCGCUAUUAAGGGUUCGUUUGUUCAACGAUUAAUAGUCCUACGUGAUCUGAGUUCAGACCGG
Molecule: ribosomal RNA, 628 nt
Filed under: Uropterygius macularius (marbled moray)
Lineage: Eukaryota; Metazoa; Chordata; Actinopteri; Anguilliformes; Muraenidae
Description: partial 16S ribosomal RNA subunit
Rfam family: Bacterial large subunit ribosomal RNA
Source: RNAcentral